UGGGGAAUAUUGCACAAUGGGCGAAAGCCUGAUGCAGCGACGCCGCGUGAGGGAUGACGGCCUUCGGGUUGUAAACCUCUUUCAGUAGGGACGAAGCGCAAGUGACGGUACCUGCAGAAGAAGCACCGGCUAACUACGUGCCAGCAGCCGCGGUAAUACGUAGGGUGCGAGCGUUGUCCGGAAUUACUGGGCGUAAAGAGCUCGUAGGCGGUUUGUCACGUCGUCUGUGAAAUCCUAGGGCUUAACCCUGGACGUGCAGGCGAUACGGGCUGACUUGAGUACUACAGGGGAGACUGGAAUUUCUGGUGUAGCGGUGGAAUGCACAGAUAUCAGGAAGGACACCGGUGGCGAAGGCAGGUCUCUGGGUAGUAACUGACGCUGAGGAGCGAAAGCAUGGGUAGCGAACAGG
RNAcentral lists this ribosomal RNA (409 nucleotides) under bacterium. Its description in RNAcentral is "partial 16S ribosomal RNA". It matches the Rfam family "Bacterial small subunit ribosomal RNA", at positions 355 to 776 of the family's 1533-position model. The record is from RNAcentral.